This 505-nucleotide ribosomal RNA is filed under the name Salmonella enterica subsp. enterica serovar Enteritidis. RNAcentral describes it as "partial 23S ribosomal RNA". It matches the Rfam family "Bacterial large subunit ribosomal RNA", at positions 17 to 559 of the family's 2925-position model. The record is from RNAcentral. Lineage: Bacteria; Pseudomonadati; Pseudomonadota; Gammaproteobacteria; Enterobacterales; Enterobacteriaceae.
GCGUACACGGUGGAUGCCCUGGCAGUCAGAGGCGAUGAAGGGCGUACUAAUCUGCGAUAAGCGCCGGUAAGGUGAUAUGAACCGUUAUAACCGGCGAUACCCGAAUGGGGAAACCCAGUGUGAUUCGUCACACUAUCAUUAACUGAAUCCAUAGGUUAAUGAGGCGAACCGGGGGAACUGAAACAUCUAAGUACCCCGAGGAAAAGAAAUCAACCGAGAUUCCCCCAGUAGCGGCGAGCGAACGGGGAGGAGCCCAGAGCCUGAAUCAGCAUGUGUGUUAGUGGAAGCGUCUGGAAAGGCGCGCGAUACAGGGUGACAGCCCCGUACACAAAAGCGCAUGUGCUGUGAGCUCGAUGAGUAGGGCGGGACACGUGGUAUCCUGUCUGAAUAUGGGGGGACCAUCCUCCAAGGCUAAAUACUCCUGACUGACCGAUAGUGAACCAGUACCGUGAGGGAAAGGCGAAAAGAACCCCGGCGAGGGGAGUGAAAAAGAACCUGAAACCGU